GGCCCCGCCCACGUCAUGGCGCCCGAGGAGAACGCUGGGACCUAACUCUUGCUGCAGAGUUUGCAGCGCCGCUUUCUGGCGGCGCGCGCGCUGCGCUCCUUCCCCUGGCAGGUGGGCGGCGGGGCGAGCGGAGAGGCCCGCAGGGCUCGCGGGAGUCCAGGGGCAGACGGGAUGGGUCUCCGUGCAGAAGCCCCCGACACGCCCGCCACAGCUUAGAAGCAAAAUUAACAGACUCAUCAGAUUCUGAGCUUCUGCGGGAUAUUUUGCAGAAGACUGUGAAGCAUCCUGUGUGUGUGACGCACCCGCCGUCAGUCAAGUAUGCCCGGUGCUUUCUCUCAGAACUCAUCAAAAAGACGUGCUGUAUUGCCCAGAAGCCAUCGUGUUGCUGGUCGGGGUCCUGCUGAGGCUGGCUGCCUGCCGGGAGCACCAGCGGGCUCCUGAGGUCUAUGUGGCCUUUACUGUCCGCAACCCAGAGACAUGCCAGCUGUUCACCACCGAGCUAGGCCAGGCCAGGAUCAGAUGGGAAGUGGAACCUCGUCAUGACCAGAAACUGUUUCCCUAUGAAGAGCACUUGGAGAUGGCAAUGCUGAACCUCACACUGUAGGACUCACACACGACUCCAAUGGGAUUGUGAGAAUCAAGUCACUCUCAAGGGAAGAGGUUUCAUAUGGGAAAGCUGAUAAAACUUUCACUGGACUGGAAUGUUUGGAGAAUGUUAAUUUCCAAAUCAGGAACUACAAACUGCCCUCUAAUAAGACAUCGGCUAUCUAAGCGUGUGGGUGCUCCCUUUCUGCCAGCAGUUCUGGUUCUUAAGGAAAUCGCCAUCACUCAGACAUGAAAACUCUGGCUCCAAAAAUAGCAUUUUCUUUGUGCAAAUAAAAACGUGUGUAUCAAGUAUGUGGACACACUCGGUUCCUCACAAAGCCAAGCCUGCUGCAGCUGCCACAUCCCUGGACACACUUGGUUCCUCACAAAGCCAAGACUGCUGCAGCUGCCACAUCCGCGGACACACUCAGUUCUUCACAAAGCCAAGCCCGCUGCAGCUGCCACAUCCCUGGGCUUACGAUGCAGCAGGUGCUUUUUUCAAGACAGGAAUCAAAAUGUUAGGAACACGGCAGAAAGGUGACACCUGGAGACCAAACGCAGGAUAAGGAGUACUGCAGAGGUCACAGGGAAGUCACAGAACAGUAAUACGCUAGCAGGGGCAUGGGGCAUGAAGAACAGAAGAAGAGAGGAAGUGUUUCCGAGCCUCCGGAAAAGAAAUCAGAGCCAAGCACAGCUUCCCGGGUCACAGAACCAAUUCAUUCACCAGGCGGCACCACUGCCGUCAUUUCAGCUUCUGGCCACUGGGAGGCGCUGCUCAAAAGGGUUUGCCCUGAGACUCCGAGAAGAAGCUGCGGGAAGGACAGCAGGGGUCCCGGGGUUUUAGCCUCUGGCCCAGGAGUUGUAUGUCCAUAACCAAAGGGAGCACAGUCUGCACCCAGCUCUCAUCCCAUCGGAGCUGCUGCGACUCCCGCAGGUUCUUCCAAAACUGGUUUAGCUUGCCUGCAGGAUCAGGAAAGUUUGAGAAAAGCAUCUGCAAAAAAAUAAAGAGCAGAGCUUACCUCAUUGCCUGUCCCCACCCCAUCCCAGGUCACCACCUGGCUGACCCCAGGUCCCCGACCCAACAACAACCCCUCCCAAGUUCCUAACUCUCUCACUUGGACUCGAGACUCUUCACGCCCCAGCAGCGCUCCGCCUCCAACUUGACAUCAUGCUUUCUGGAAACUUCCCCGUAUGUCCCACUUUCCCACACUUGGUGCCCUGGAGCACCUCCCGGCCUCUAACGUGCUGUAUGUUCCCCUGCGAGCACCCUCCUCUUGGCCUCUGGCCAAGUCCCACCCAUCUGUGGGUAACAAGGGGGUGUCGGUGUUCUUUUCAGCCUUGCUAAACUCUCUGAAUCAAGGAUCACAAACUACAGCCUGCAGGCCAAAUCCAGCCCACAGCCUGUGUUUGUAAAUAAAGUUUUAUUGGAACAAAGCCACACCCCUUAA
This is a long non-coding RNA of Homo sapiens (human), 2033 nucleotides long. Ensembl annotates it as family with sequence similarity 86 member J, pseudogene. Its record names the gene FAM86JP. The record is from Ensembl. Lineage: Eukaryota; Metazoa; Chordata; Mammalia; Primates; Hominidae.